Non-coding RNA from Otolemur garnettii (small-eared galago), 130 nucleotides. NCBI's taxonomy places the organism in Eukaryota, Metazoa, Chordata, Mammalia, Primates, Galagidae. The record is from Rfam.
UAAAAAUGUCAUUGGGUGGCACACAUGGGGCAAUUCAACUGCUCUUUGGUGGAAUUGACAUCACGAGAUUUCAGAAGCAUAAUUUUUUUGGUACCUGGGCAUUUGGUGAUUUGUUGGUCCCAGUGUCCUU